UACGAAGGGGGCUAGCGUUGUUCGGAAUUACUGGGCGUAAAGCGUGCGCAGGCGGCUUCUCAAGUCAGGGGUGAAAGCCCAGAGCUCAACUCUGGAAUUGCCUUUGAGACUGAGAGGCUUGAGUACGAGAGAGGUGAGUGGAAUUCCCAGUGUAGAGGUGAAAUUCGUAGAUAUUGGGAAGAACACCCGUGGCGAAGGCGGUUCUCUGGGACGGUACUGACGCUGAGACGCGAAAGCGUGGGGAGCGAACAGG
This 253-nucleotide ribosomal RNA is filed under the name uncultured bacterium. RNAcentral's name for it is "partial 16S ribosomal RNA". It matches the Rfam family "Bacterial small subunit ribosomal RNA", at positions 524 to 776 of the family's 1533-position model. The record is from RNAcentral.